ACGCUCGACACCUACGGGAGGGAGCAGUGAGGAAUAUUGGUCAAUGGGCGCUAGCCUGAACCAGCCAAGUAGCGUGAAGGAUGAAGGCUCUAUGGGUCGUAAACUUCUUUUAUAUAAGAAUAAAGUGCAGUAUGUAUACUGUUUUGUAUGUAUUAUAUGAAUAAGGAUCGGCUAACUCCGUGCCAGUAGCCGCGGUAAUCUGAGCGGGCUGGCAAGGC
This 218-nucleotide ribosomal RNA is filed under the name uncultured bacterium. RNAcentral's name for it is "partial 16S ribosomal RNA". It matches the Rfam family "Bacterial small subunit ribosomal RNA", at positions 328 to 539 of the family's 1533-position model. The record is from RNAcentral.